UGACAUGUUUUAAAUGAAAAUGAAAAGUUAAUGGUUGCCAGGCACUCCACCGCGUAGCCUGCGUGCUUCUAACGAUAGCACCAGCGAUCUAAUUAAAAUAAUGUGCGCACACAUAAAUAUACAUGCCUUGGAGAAGUAGGAGCUGCUGAUGAAAACGUGAUGGUACUGCGGGAAAAUCCAGGAAUCGCUGCUUUGAAUCAGGUUAUUUCUGCAAAAGUCCUUCCUCG
Molecule: long non-coding RNA, 227 nt
Filed under: Dromaius novaehollandiae (emu)
Lineage: Eukaryota; Metazoa; Chordata; Aves; Casuariiformes; Dromaiidae
Description: lncRNA (ENSDNVG00000000171.1)
Source: RNAcentral